This 1572-nucleotide unclassified non-coding RNA is filed under the name Hevea brasiliensis (rubber tree). Lineage: Eukaryota; Viridiplantae; Streptophyta; Magnoliopsida; Malpighiales; Euphorbiaceae. The record is from RNAcentral.
CUAUAAUUGUGUUCCACUAAUUAGAAAGAAAUCAUAAAUAAAAAAUCUUAAAUAGGAAUACAAAAUACAGAAUAUACAGAGAAAUAAGAUAGUGAUUGACUUUCCAUAACAGUUGUUAAAGAAACCUUUGUCACAAUGGACAAGACAUUCAUUUUGGACAGACAAAAUGUGAAAACUACACAAACAACAUGACAGAAUCUUUUAAAAGCUGGAUAGGCAAGCUAAGAGGAAUGCCAUUGAUCAACAUAAUUGAGAGCAUUAGAUAGAAACUCAUGUUAAGAUUCCAUAGCAGGUAUGCAAAGGGCUGUACUUGGGAUGGGAAGGUCACACCUAGAACAAAGAAGAUAUUGAACAAGAUUACAAGUCAGAGUAGAUGUGUUAAGCUAAUACCUGGAAAGAAUGAAGAGUUCGAGGUUCAUGAGGAUCCCUGUAAAUUUGCUGUUUCUUUGGUGAAAAAGACUUGCUCCUGUGGAUGGUGGGACAUAUCUAGAUUGCCAUGUAAAUAUGCGGCCAAAGCCAUUGGGCAUCAGAGAGGAGAUAUAGAGAAGUACUGUCAUAAUUACUAAGAUGUUGAUACCUAUUUGAAGGUCUAUGAAUGUGCAAUUCAUCCAAUCCCAGAAAUGAAUAUGGAACCAAAUGCUGAACACCCACCAAUAAAACCACACCCAUUGAAAAGGCAACUGAGCAGGCCUCGAAAAUCGAGGAAAAGGGAAGAGAGAGAGCUAGGGCCUACAUUAAAGAGAAGAAGGAAUGCAACGGUGUUUUGUGCCAAGUGCAAGCAAUUGGGACAUAAUAAGAGGACUUGCCAAUAUGCCCUAGUUGGGGUAAGUUCUAUCAUAUUAAACUAUUUUACCAUCUAGCAAUUAAAAAUUUUAUGCAUACAAAGAUCUCAAUUAUGUAUAUAUUUAUUGAUUUUUAUGUUAAUAUUUUAUUAUGACAUAAGCUAUUUCUUCAUGCGGUCCGACACAAGUUCUAGAGGUGGAAGGAAGAAAAAAAAAUAGUUCUGUAGCCCCCCAAGAAUUUGAGCCACAAUCUCAAGGGGGGCAUGUGCAACAAUCCAUGUAUGUGAACAGUAACAUUGCUCAAGAUAUGGGUAGAUAGUCAUUGCAUUAGGAUGGUCACUGGAAAUGGAACAUUAGUCAUAUUUUGUUGUUAGUUCAAUUUUGUUGGUGAAAUAUGCUCAGUAGUCUUAUAUUUCGUGGUUGCAAUGUGCAUAGUUGGAACUUUGUGCGUGUAAAUAUUGGGAAAUUUAGUGCUUAUUGGAGAUGAUAUUAGAUAAGUUAUUUAAUAAUUUUGAUUUAUAGUAGUGUAAUGGACUUGAUCACUAGAAUGAUGGCUAUCUUUACUGUUAUUUAAUUGAUCAAGUAUUUUGGUUGUAAACAAUUGAUUUUUGUAUCUAUUCCAAUAUAUACUAUUGAUAGAAAAAUUUGUCUUUGAUAAUUGUUGCAUUUUACAGGUUAUAAAUUAUAUAUUAUAGACAGGUUUUUCAUUUUACAGGUUACUAAUUCAUAAAAAACAGGGGUUACCAUUUCAAAAUAUAUGUUGCCAACUCAACUAUUUAGUCCCGGUAAU